AUUUUGUGUUAAUCAAUUGGGGUCCAUUUCAAUGAAGGCUGUCCCAAGCGGUGGAGAUUUUGGAUGCCAUAAGGAUUCUAUUUGAACAUGUUAUUUUUGCCUUCAGUGUAAUGUACCUCGAUUGGUCAACACAGAAU
Molecule: non-coding RNA, 137 nt
Organism: Marchantia polymorpha subsp. ruderalis
Lineage: Eukaryota; Viridiplantae; Streptophyta; Marchantiopsida; Marchantiales; Marchantiaceae
Source: the annotation of a GenBank genome assembly